Molecule: small nucleolar RNA, 107 nt
Organism: Dioscorea cayenensis subsp. rotundata (Guinea yam)
Lineage: Eukaryota; Viridiplantae; Streptophyta; Magnoliopsida; Dioscoreales; Dioscoreaceae
Source: RefSeq, a predicted model, not a curated record
AGUCCAUGAUGGGAACACAAGCUCAAUAAUUCUUUAAAUCUAUCCCAGGUGUCACACAAAGAAUCUCCUUUCUUUUAAGCAAAAUUAGUGAUUUGAUUCCUAAGUUG